UGUGGGGAAAGCAAAUUCAGAGACGUUGGGGAAGAUUGAGCAGGGGAGAACAGCCACACGUGAUAUUGCACGUGCACCAGCCACUUCGUGAGCUUUUUCUGUGUGCUUCAAAGUCUCAAUAAGACUCCUGUAAAUGGACACUUAAAGCUCAUUUCAUUGGUGUCAGCAGACUGGGGAUUUGUUGGCUACUAUACAUUUAUAUCUGUCUUUUUCUUACCAUUAUUUAUAUUUGGAAUAAUUUCAUUACAUUAUUUAUAUUCUGUUAUCAAUAAGUAUAAAACAAACUCAGUAACAGAUAUAUU
Non-coding RNA from Pimephales promelas (fathead minnow), 302 nucleotides. NCBI's taxonomy places the organism in Eukaryota, Metazoa, Chordata, Actinopteri, Cypriniformes, Leuciscidae. The record is from RefSeq and is a predicted model, not a curated record.